This 483-nucleotide ribosomal RNA is filed under the name uncultured bacterium. RNAcentral's name for it is "partial 16S ribosomal RNA". It matches the Rfam family "Bacterial small subunit ribosomal RNA", at positions 28 to 523 of the family's 1533-position model. The record is from RNAcentral.
GACGAACGCUGGCGGCGUGCUUAACACAUGCAAGUCGAACGAUGAAAGCGGAGCUUGCUCCGCUGGAUUAGUGGCGAACGGGUGAGUAACACGUGGGCAACCUGCCCCAGACUCUGGGAUAACUCCUCGAAAGAGGUGCUAAUACCGGAUACGAACUCCUUGGGCAUCCUUGGAGCUGGAAAGUUUUUCGGUCUGGGAUGGGCCCGCGGCCUAUCAGCGUGUUGGUGGGGUAGUGGCCCACCAAGGCGACGACGGGUAGCCGGCCUGAGAGGGCGACCGGCCACACUGGGACUGAGACACGGCCCAGACUCCUACGGGAGGCAGCAGUGGGGAAUAUUGCGCAAGGGGCGAAAGCCUGACGCAGCGACGCCGCGUGAGGGAUGACGGCCUUCGGGUUGUAACCCUUUUUCAGCAGGGAAGAAGCGAAAGUGACGGUACCUGCAGAAGAAGCACCGGCUAACUACGUGCCAGCAGCCGCCGUAA